UAGGGAAUCUUCGGCAAUGGACGAAAGUCUGACCGAGCAACGCCGCGUGAGUGAAGAAGGUUUUCGGAUCGUAAAACUCUGUUGUUAGAGAAGAACAAGGACGUUAGUAACUGAACGUCCCCUGACGGUAUCUAACCAGAAAGCCACCGCUAACUACGUGCCAGCAGCCGCGGUAAUACGUAGGUGGCAAGCGUUGUCCGGAUUUAUUGGGCGUAAAGCUAGCGCAGGCGGUUUCUUAAGUCUGAUGUGAAAGCCCCCGGCUCAACCGGGGAGGGUCAUUGGAAACUGGGAGACUGGAGUGCAGAAGAGGAGAGUGGAAUUCCAUGUGUAGCGGUGAAAUGCGUAGAUAUAUGGAGGAACACCAGUGGCGAAGGCGGCUCUCUGGUCUGUAACUGACACUGAGGCACGAAAGCGAGGGGAGCAAACAGG
RNAcentral lists this ribosomal RNA (429 nucleotides) under Gemmatimonadota bacterium. Its description in RNAcentral is "Gemmatimonadetes bacterium partial 16S ribosomal RNA". It matches the Rfam family "Bacterial small subunit ribosomal RNA", at positions 355 to 776 of the family's 1533-position model. Lineage: Bacteria; Pseudomonadati; Gemmatimonadota. The record is from RNAcentral.